RNAcentral lists this ribosomal RNA (468 nucleotides) under uncultured bacterium. RNAcentral's name for it is "partial 16S ribosomal RNA". It matches the Rfam family "Bacterial small subunit ribosomal RNA", at positions 28 to 507 of the family's 1533-position model. The record is from RNAcentral.
GACGAACGCUGGCGGCGUGCUUAACACAUGCAAGUCGAACGGAAAGGCCCUGCUUUUGUGGGGGGCUCGAGUGGCAAACGGGUGGGUAACACGUGGGUAACCUGCCCUUGACUUUGGGAUAACUUCGGAAACCUGGGGCUACUACGGGAUAGGAGCUCCUGCUGCAUGGUGGGGGUUGGAAAGUUUCGGCGGUUGGGGAUGGACUCGCGGCUUCUCAGCUUGCUGGUGGGGUAGUGGCUUACCAAGGCUUUGACGGGUAGCCGGCCUGAGAGGGUGACCGGCCACAUUGGGACUGAGAUACGGCCCAGACUCCUACGGGAGGCAGCAGUGGGGAAUAUUGCACAAUGGGCGGAAGCCUGAUGCAGCAACGCCGCGUGCGGGAUGACGGCCUUCGGGUUGUAAACCGCUUUCGCCUGUGACGAAGCGUGAGUGACGGUAAUGGGUAAAGAAGCACCGGCUAACUACGUG